This 370-nucleotide ribosomal RNA is filed under the name Coccidia sp. RNAcentral's name for it is "partial small subunit ribosomal RNA". It matches the Rfam family "Eukaryotic small subunit ribosomal RNA", at positions 582 to 975 of the family's 1831-position model. The record is from RNAcentral. Lineage: Eukaryota; Apicomplexa; Conoidasida.
AUUCCAGCUCCAAUAGCGUAUAUUAAAGUUGUUGCAGUUAAAAAGCUCGUAGUUGAAUUUCUGUUGCGUUGACUACGUUGGACUUUGUUCGGCGUCUGUCACUUCAACAUUUUUCUUGGCAUGCACUUCAUUGUGUGUGUCUGGAGAGUUUUACUUUGAGAAAAAUAGAGUGUUUCAAGCAGGCUUUGCCUUGAAUACUGCAGCAUGGAAUAAUGUUAUAGACCUGCAUUCCUAUUUCAUUGGUUUUAGGGAAUGAGUGAUGAUUAAUAGGGAUGGUUGGGGGCAUUUGUAUUCGACUGUCAGAGGUGAAAUUCUUAGAUUUGUCGAAGACAAACAACUGCGAAAGCAUUUGCCAAGGAUAUGCUCAUCG